AAGAAAAUUUCAAAGCACUGCUUUCUUUGUGGCAAGAAAACUGGAUUGGCAACCAGCUAUGAGUGCAGAUGUGGAAACAACUUCUGUGCAACACACCGCUAUGCAGAGACUCACACUUGCACCUAUGACUACAAGAGUGCAGGACGGAGGUAUUUACAGGAGACCAACCCCAUCAUUAGUGCACCAAAGCUUCCCAAAAUUUGACAUGGUUGUGCUGCAUGUGGCCACUGCUGUUGAAGAAUUGUACUGAAUUGAGAGAAGCACUUGCUUAAACUGCAUCAUUUCGCCAUGCUCCGUAUUUAAAGAUUUGCCAAGUAACAAAAGCACAUGAGGAUGCAUCGAAGAAUAAUGUGAACACUACUGCAGUUAAAACUUUUCUUCUUGAGUGAAUGAAAGGUUAAAAAUUAGUUUCUGAAAACUUACACUAUGAUUUAACUGUUACUGCACGUGUUGUGUUUUAUAUUUGGAAAAGCUAUUUCACUAGACAAGUCUUUAAAGAUGCACUUUACUAACUUUACUGUAUAACCAGAGUUGAGGAGGUGUUGUAAUGAGGGUGUCACGUAAUGUCUUCUGUACUCUUGUUUUUGUCCAUUGUGUGGUAUCUUCUAAGUUAUUUCACUAGAAAGAUCCUCCUCCCUCCCCUUUCUUCAAACAGCCUGUUUUGAGAUUUUAAGGGGAUAGUGUGUUCCACCCCUCUGUUUCAUUCUGAUUGAUAUUCGUACAUUGUGUGUCCAUUCUGAAAAUUACAUAUCAUUUAAAUCACAUUUUCUUAAAAUAAUGCUGUUUAUAUGACAAGUUUGUUUUUAAAUAGAAGGUUCCCUGUUUGUUGCCAUUAAAUAUAAGAAACAACUUAUUUUAACUUUUUUUGUAAUCCUAGAUUUUUUUAAGACUUCACAACUUGCUUUGUUAAGAUGUUGAAUGCUGUUACUGGAAGAAAUCCUAAUAAAUAUUAAAUUUUAUUCUUGUUUAUGCUGUCAUAAAUGCACAAAAUAAUUUCCCUCUUACAGUGUGUUCCUAAAUUAAAAGCUGGGUGUAUUUAUUUUUUUCUUUUUUAGUGUGACCAAGACUGUGUGCUUUAAAUAAACCUCCUGAAGUCUUACAGGUGUACCAGCAAAGGCAAAAGGGAUGCACAACAAAUGGCCUGUACUAACCUUUCUCCCCUCCAGCUAAUAGAGUAUAACAGCAGUUCAGUAAAUGCAUUUACUUUUCACUUCUAAUGAUUAUGUAGCCUCUACAGAAACUGCUUUUGGAGGAAUAUACCUACUGAAAUACUUUCUUCUUUCAUUCCCUUAAUGCUUGUGAAAUAUUUUUAUAAGCAUAAGUUGCAUUAAGUGUUCCAGUAUAAAGAGAUUAAUAAAAAUCCUACGACAAACCACCAAAACAAAAGAAAUACCCCCCAUUGUAUCUAGGUAAUCAAAUGUCAUGGUCCCUGUCUUGUCAAAGUCCUCAGCUACUUAGUUGGUAUUGAAAUGAUCUGUGCUGCAUUCCAGUCAAAGUGUAGCAGCUUUAAGAGAGUGACAGUCAAAAGGUGGACAAAAAAGAAGAAAGAUGACCACUGAAAGAGGGAGCAGUAACUUGAAAGAUCUGAUCUUUGGAGGAAAUCCAUUUUGUGUAGCCCACUUCAUACUUCUUAAACCUGAAGCUUUCAGAGUGAUGAGCUUGGAAAAAAAUGUUCACAAUCAUCCUUCUGGGUAUUGAUAAGAUAAAAAUAUCAUUCUGUGUGUGUGACUUCUGUGCUUAUUAUUACUGGAG
This is a long non-coding RNA of Geospiza fortis (medium ground-finch), 1752 nucleotides long. NCBI's taxonomy places the organism in Eukaryota, Metazoa, Chordata, Aves, Passeriformes, Thraupidae. The record is from Ensembl.